AAACAGGAUUUAGACUACAAUAUAAGCUCUAAGUUUUGUGUUAUCAUUCCCCCCUGCUUAAAAUAAAGUUAUUUCUUAAUUAACUACACCUGUCUGAUUGACACCUGUUGCAGUCAGGAACACUUAGUAGUCUCAUACAU
RNAcentral lists this small nucleolar RNA (140 nucleotides) under Sorex araneus (European shrew). RNAcentral's name for it is "Small nucleolar RNA SNORA63 (ENSSARG00000017364.1)". Lineage: Eukaryota; Metazoa; Chordata; Mammalia; Eulipotyphla; Soricidae. The record is from RNAcentral.